AAUCCCUUCGGGGUGCGGGGUUCACCGGCUGCGCGGGACCCGGACGGGUAGUAGUCAAGCGACGGGGUGACACAGGAAGGUAGCCGUACCAGUCAGUGGUAAUACUGGGGUAAACCUGUAGGGAGAACCCUAGGUAAAUCCGGGUUUCACAUAUCCUGAGAGGUGAUGCAUAGCCGAUUGAGGCGAAUUCGGUGAUCCUAUGCUGUCAAGAAAAGCCUCUAGCGAGCGCACACACGGCCCGUACCCCAAACCAAC
RNAcentral lists this ribosomal RNA (255 nucleotides) under Mycobacterium sp. ITM-2017-0098. RNAcentral describes it as "partial 23S ribosomal RNA". It matches the Rfam family "Bacterial large subunit ribosomal RNA", at positions 1399 to 1658 of the family's 2925-position model. The record is from RNAcentral. Lineage: Bacteria; Bacillati; Actinomycetota; Actinomycetes; Mycobacteriales; Mycobacteriaceae.